This 468-nucleotide ribosomal RNA is filed under the name uncultured bacterium. RNAcentral's name for it is "partial 16S ribosomal RNA". It matches the Rfam family "Bacterial small subunit ribosomal RNA", at positions 28 to 507 of the family's 1533-position model. The record is from RNAcentral.
GACGAACGCUGGCGGCGUGCUUAACACAUGCAAGUCGAACGGAAAGGCCCUUCUUUUGUGGGGUGCUCGAGUGGCGAACGGGUGAUUAACACGUGAGUAACCUUCCCUUGACUUUGGGAUAACUUCAGGAAACUGGGGCUAAUACCGGAUAGGUGCUCCUGCUGCUUUUUUGGGGUUGUCAAGUUUCUGCGGUUGGGGAUGGACUCGCGGCUUAUCAUCUUGUUGUUGGGGUAGUGGCUUACCAAGGCCUUGACGGGUAGCCGGCCUGAGAGGGUGACCGGCCAGAUUGGGACGGAGAUACGGCCCAGACUCAUACGGGAGGCAGGAGGGGGGAAGAUUGCACGAUGGGCGGAAGCCUGACGCAGCAACGACGCGUGCGGGAUGACGGCCGUCGGGUUGUAAACCGCUUUCGCCUGUGACGAAGCGUGAGUGACGGUAAUGGGUAAAGAAGCACCGGCUAACUACGUG